AGCAGUGUAGCAUAGUGGUAAGGAGCUGGGCUCAUAAUCAAAAGGUUGCCAGUUCGAUUCCUCACUGUUG
Megalops atlanticus (tarpon) is the source of this 70-nucleotide non-coding RNA. NCBI's taxonomy places the organism in Eukaryota, Metazoa, Chordata, Actinopteri, Elopiformes, Megalopidae. The record is from the annotation of a GenBank genome assembly.